GACGAACGCUGGCGGCGUGCUUAACACAUGCAAGUCGAACGGAAAGGCCCUGCUUUUGUGGGGUGCUCGAGUGGCGAACGGGUGAGUAACACGUGAGUAACCUGCCCUUGACUUUGGGAUAACUUCAGGAAACUGGGGCUAAUACCGGAUAGGAGCUCCUGCUGCAUGGUGGGGGUUGGAAAGUUUCGGCGGUUGGGGAUGGACUCGCGGCUUAUCAGCUUGUUGGUGGGGUAGUGGCUUACCAAGGCAUUGACGGGUAGCCGGCCUGAGAGGGUGACCGGCCACAUUGGGACUGAGGUACGGCCAAGACUCCUACGGGAGGCAGCAGUGGGGAAUAUUGCACAAUGGGCGGAAGCCUGAUGCAGCAACGCCGCGUGCGGGAUGACGGCCUUCGGGUUGUAAACCGCUUUCGCCUGUGACGAAGCGUGAGUGACGGUAAUGGGUAAAGAAGCACCGGCUAACUACGUG
Molecule: ribosomal RNA, 468 nt
Filed under: uncultured bacterium
Lineage: Bacteria
Description: partial 16S ribosomal RNA
Rfam family: Bacterial small subunit ribosomal RNA
Source: RNAcentral